GCAGUGGUGGUUCAGUGGUAGAAUUCUUGCCUUCCAUGUGGGAGACCCAGAUCUGAUUCCUGGCCAAUGCA
Transfer RNA from Loxodonta africana (African savanna elephant), 71 nucleotides. It matches the Rfam family "tRNA". From Rfam's summary of the family: Transfer RNA (tRNA) molecules are approximately 80 nucleotides in length. Lineage: Eukaryota; Metazoa; Chordata; Mammalia; Proboscidea; Elephantidae. The record is from Rfam.